Molecule: transfer RNA, 84 nt
Filed under: Acidobacteriota bacterium
Lineage: Bacteria; Pseudomonadati; Acidobacteriota
Also listed under: 2 other names
Description: Acidobacteria bacterium tRNA-Leu
Rfam family: tRNA
About the family: Transfer RNA (tRNA) molecules are approximately 80 nucleotides in length.
Source: RNAcentral
GCCGGAGUGGCGAAACGGUAUACGCAGUGGACUUAAAAUCCGCCGCCUUCGGGCUUAGGGGUUCGAAUCCCCUCUCCGGCACCA